UAGGGUUUUGUAAUAAAAGAAUCGAGGACAUCGAUUCCACUGGGGAUGUUUUCGCUUGAGGGAUUGAUUUCGACGAUGAAUGUGGAAAAAGCCUCGCUCGAUCCAGAAAAAGCAAGAAACUUCCAUCAUAAACCGUAUACGGUGGAUUGCAUAAAGUGGCCGUCGUGGGAUUUACCUUCUCCAGUUAAGUAUAAUAAUAAAGAGGGGAUGAUGGUCUCACAUGGGAAAUUCCCGGAGAUUCGACGUGCGUGGGUAUUACUCGAUGAUCAUUCUUUCCUUCUGUGGCGUUUUGACAAAUGGGAUGCGCAAAUUUGGGUGCACAGAACCAGCGAGGAGCUGCCUAUUUCUGCGGCUUGUCUAGUGAAACCUCGGCCAGAUUUUGGUGCUCGCAACUCAAGAUGAGUUGCUGCUUUUUGGAGUAUGCUGCUCGUCUCAAGAAGGCGGCGAAGAUACUCUUUCUCACAUUUCAUUAGAGAAGCUGGUUGACUACACCACCUCAACUGAUGGAGUUACAAUGACUUGUAUUGCCUCUACUGAUAAAGGCCGCAUUUUCUUGGCUGGAUACAACGGUCUCAUAUUCGAGCUGCUCUAUACUAUUGGCUCACCUUGCCGUCUAGUUUGCUGCAUACUGCUUGGCCCUGACCCUAAUUACUAUGCUAUCCAUUGCUAUAAAUGCGGAUCUACUACUAUCAAGGAGUUGUAUACGGCGAUGUAUAACAC
This is a non-coding RNA of Camelina sativa (false flax), 720 nucleotides long. Lineage: Eukaryota; Viridiplantae; Streptophyta; Magnoliopsida; Brassicales; Brassicaceae. The record is from RefSeq and is a predicted model, not a curated record.